GAUGAAGAACGCAGCGAAAUGCGAUAAGUAGUGUGAAUUGCAGAAUUCAGUGAAUCAUCGAAUCUUUGAACGCACAUUGCGCCCCUUGGUAUUCCAUGGGGCAUGCCUGUUCGAGCGUCGUUUGUACCUUCAAGCUUUGCUUGGUGUUGGGUGUUUGUCUCGCCUUUGCGUGUAGACUCGCCUUAAAAUAAUUGGCAGCCGGCGUAUUGAUUUCGGAGCGCAGUACAUCUCGCGCUUUGCACUCAUAACGACAGCGUCCAAAAGUACAUUUUACACUCUUGACCUCGGAUCAGGUAGGGAUACCCGCUGAACUUAAGCAUAUCAAUAAGCGGAGGA
This 336-nucleotide unclassified non-coding RNA is filed under the name soil metagenome. RNAcentral describes it as "partial contains 5.8S ribosomal RNA, internal transcribed spacer 2, and large subunit ribosomal RNA". The stretch from base 1 to 120 matches the Rfam family "5.8S ribosomal RNA", at positions 35 to 154 of the family's 154-position model. The record is from RNAcentral.